RNAcentral lists this long non-coding RNA (891 nucleotides) under Marmota monax (woodchuck). Lineage: Eukaryota; Metazoa; Chordata; Mammalia; Rodentia; Sciuridae. The record is from RNAcentral.
GUCAGAUUAUAUAACUGAAAAUUAUUAAUUGAUUUUUUAAAAGAAGAAUGAUGUAUUUAUCUAACUUUUUCACAUUUGGCCAGUGUUAUUUACAGGGUGUCCUGAUGACUCACAGAAAAAUACAGCCUGAGAACUCAGUCACGUAGUGUUGGAAUUAUGUUAGGAGGGCAACCUGCACAGAUGUUUUGUGUCAGUUUGUGCAAGACACUGUGUAUAAGGGAACAUGUGCUCUCAGGUAGUAAUGGUCUUGGAAGACAUGAACUCAUUUAGAAUUCAUGGAAUGUUACUGUUAAGUAAAUUAAAAUUAAUAUUAGGAAUAAAUUAGAAUUAAUAUUAGGACAACUUCAAAACAUUACAAAGCUCAUGAUGUAUCAUCUUUCAUACAUUUGACUCAAGUGGGUUAUGAACUCCCAUUUUUACCCCAAAUACAAAUUGCAGAAUCACAUCGGUUACACACUCACAUUUUUACAUAAGGGCAUAUUAGUGACUGUUGUAUUCUGCUACCUUUCCUAUCCCCUACUAUCCCCCCUCCCCUCCCCUCCCAUCUUCCCUCUCUACCUCAUCUGCUGUUGUUCAAUUCUCUCCCUUGUUCCCCCCCCCCUUUCCCCUCACAACCUCUUAUAUGUAAUUUUGUGUAACAUUGAGGGUCUCCUACCAUUUCCAUAUGAUUUCCCUUCUCUCUUCCUUUCUCUCCCCCCACUCGUCUCUGUUUAAUGUUAAUCUUUUCCUCAUGCUCUUCCUCCCUGUUCUGUUCUUAGUUGCUCUCUUUAUAUCAAAGAAGACAUUUGGCAUUUGUUUUUUAAGGAUUGGCUAGCUUCGUUUAGCAUAAUCUGCUCUAAUGCCAUCCAUUUCCCUGCAAAUUCCAUGAUUUUGUCAUUUUUUAGUGCUGCG